CCUACGGGCGGCAGCAGUGGGGAAUAUUGCACAAUGGGGGAAACCCUGAUGCAGCGACGCCGCGUGAGCGAUGAAGUAUUUCGGUAUGUAAAGCUCUAUCAGCAGGGAAGAAAAUGACGGUACCUGACUAAGAAGCCCCGACUAACUACGUGCCAGCAGCCGCGGUAAUACGUAGGGGGCGAGCGUUAUCCGGAUUUACUGGGUGUAAAGGGAGCGUAGACGGCGAUGCAAGCCAGAUGUGAAAGCCUGGGGCUCAACCCCGGGACUGCAUUUGAAACUGUAUAGCUGGAGUGUCGGAGAGGCAGGCGGAAUUCGUGGUGUAGCGGUGAAAUGCGUAGAUAUUAGGAGGAACACCAGUGGCGAAGGCGGCCUGCUGGACGAUGACUGACGUUGAGGCUCGAAAGCGUGGGGAGCAAACAGGAUUAGAUACCCGGGUAGUC
RNAcentral lists this ribosomal RNA (440 nucleotides) under uncultured bacterium. RNAcentral describes it as "partial 16S ribosomal RNA". It matches the Rfam family "Bacterial small subunit ribosomal RNA", at positions 338 to 795 of the family's 1533-position model. The record is from RNAcentral.